CAAUAGCGUAUAUUAAAGUUGUUGCAGUUAAAAAGCUCGUAGUUGGAUUUGUGGCGUACGGUGUGUUCCGGGCACUUGUUGUCUGAGUAACCUGCUGUUGCCAUCCUUGGGUGGAACCUGUGUGGCAUUAGGUUGUCGUGCAGGGGAUGCCCAUCAUUUACUGUGAAAAAAUUAGAGUGUUCAAAGCAGGCUUAUGCCGUUGAAUAUAUUAGCAUGGAAUAAUGAGAUAGGACUGUUUUGCUAUUUUGUUGGUUUGCGCAAAGAGGUAAUGAUUAAUAGGGACAGUUGGGGGUAUUCGUAUUCCAUUGUCAGAGGUGAAAUUCUUGGAUUUUUGGAAGACGAACUACUGCGAAAGCAUUUACCAAGGAUGUUUUCAUUAA
This 380-nucleotide ribosomal RNA is filed under the name uncultured eukaryote. RNAcentral's name for it is "partial 18S ribosomal RNA". It matches the Rfam family "Eukaryotic small subunit ribosomal RNA", at positions 592 to 976 of the family's 1831-position model. The record is from RNAcentral.